Long non-coding RNA from Syzygium oleosum, 1620 nucleotides. RefSeq lists it as uncharacterized. The record is from RefSeq and is a predicted model, not a curated record. The transcript is spliced from 2 exons. NCBI's taxonomy places the organism in Eukaryota, Viridiplantae, Streptophyta, Magnoliopsida, Myrtales, Myrtaceae.
GUUUCCAACCAAAGACAUGCACGCCUCGUGCCUUCUUUUGUCAAUCCUUAGGUAUCAUAAAUCAAUCUCUCUCUCUCUCGUGCCUUCUUUUGUCAAUCCUUAGGUAUCAUAAAUCUCUCUCUCUCUCUCUCUCUGGGAAGGUUUCCUUUAAAGGCUUUCCAACAGAGAGCUAAGACGCUUCAUCACUCCUUCGAUUCCUCGUUUAUGGGUUUGGUCUCUCUGGGGGACUGGUCUUGUGGGCAUACAUGUGUGUUGGUUUGAGAGGUUGAAGCUGCCAGCAUGAUCUGGUAAUUAACUCAUAAUUUAAAACCUGUUCCUUGUUUUUGUUCCCCCUUUUCUCUCUUUCAAUUUAGUCUUUCCGUCUGCAUAUAUACCUGCAAAGUCUGGAUUUCUAAGCUUAUCUAUCCAUGGACAGUUUGACUUUGCGUUGUCUUUGCAAAUGAUGCUUUUUCGGUCGAUCCAGUGAAGUUUGCACGAAUCCUUGCUAUUAGAAUCGGUAAGAGUCGAAUCAUAACGACUCAUUUCGAUUUCAUUCAGUGAACUCGAUUGACUACAAUCUAUUGCGCAUAAAACAAAGGUAUGGCUGGCUUGGUGUAAAAAGAUUUUAACUUUGGUUGAAUCAAGCAACGGAUGCACAGAUCGCAUCCUAGGCAUCGUGAUGCAAUCAUAUCGCAUCUCAAACGGGUUUUUACAUACCCCAAGCUUGCAUAGUUCUGGUUUUUUUUCGAAAAUACAUGAGAAUGCAUAUCAUGUAUGUUCUUUAAAGUUUCAAGGGUCUCAAUUUUUACUCACCCAAACAAACUUUUACCUAGCAAGCUAGGUCAAGAAACUUGUUUCAAAAUUAGCUACAUUAAGAUGAAAUUAGAGGGCAUCAUAUCAGGUCAUCUUGCAGCUUCAAUCACUCAUUCACCAACAAAAAGGGGACUCCUUGUUCAAUGGCUUGUCUCCCCCAAUACUUAGCCCAGAUCAGGCCAUCCCCAACUACCUCGAUUUCUCGUCAAAGUACAAAAUUUGGUCAAGAAACGGUCAAACCUUGUGUUAUUCAACCGCUCAACCGGGUGAUUGAUAAAAACCGGACCAUGCCGUUUGAAUUGGCUGGUCAACUGAUGCUGAAGUAAUUGUUGGGCACAAACUCUUUGGCAUAAACUCUUUAUGAUGCUGUUUAUGCCAAAUUGCGGUGCAGAUUUUCACCAAAUACUUAGUUAGGAACAGUAUAGUGCAAAAGAAGAAUAAAAAACAAUCAAGAGCGGUCCUCUAUACCACGCAGAUCUAGUAACAACUUAUGAAUGCAUGUCCCUAACGAGUAGAUGAGGGAAGAACAGGCAUUUGUCUAGAUGAAGUUGGGGAUAACACAAAACCCGCAAAGAAGCAACAAAGAAACUUUCCAAGCAAGAUCCAGUGACCGAUAAAUAGGGGAUCGAGGAUAACUAGGACUGACUUUCUUAAGGUGACUGCCAGAAUACAGUUAUCUCUGGUUUGUUUCUUCACAACACAUGGAACCAAACGUCAAAACCUUGAACUUCCUUAGAUGUUAUCAUUUUGAUAGAGAGAACCUUCCUCUGUCAUGAGAAGAAAAAUAAUCAAUGUUGGGGCCAAUAGGGAUAACACCCAAUGGAUCCA